AAUCACAACUUAUGAAAUCACAACCGAAGGUAAUCAAUUCAUAUUACAAAUAUAUUCAUGGCUUUGAAUUAACCUCUAGCCAAAUUAAAUUUAGUUAUACAUUAUUAAAACAGAAAUAAAAUAUAAGUUUGGAAAGAUUUAACCGAGAGAGAAGAGUGCUUCAGUGCCAGUCUGCCCGUGCCUGUGGUCUUCUGCUCGUUUCUAUUUCUUUCCUGAUCCUCCUCAAGCUUCACGCUGCCCAAAGGGCAGCGCCCUUUCCCCGCCAGUUUUCUUCCCACGUCUGCACAUCUGACUUGCCCGCGCCUCGCUCUCCCGCGUCACACUCCUGCGCUGGACUGCCCACGCUGCCAAGUCAGCACCCUGUCCUCCUAUCCAUUUCUGUCCUCGCACGAGCUGCCAACUGGCAGCGCCUUUCUCUGCUCUAUGUUGCCGUGUCAGUCCUCGUGCUCACCUAUCUCUCUCGCCCUCCUCCCUCCGUCCUGACCUCUCUCCUGUUUUCCUAGUUGCUGCAAAAGCAGCAGAAAACCCCCCCCACGUCUCCUCUGUCUCCCUCUUCUGUUAUUUUCUAUUUUCUGUCUGUCUUCACGCUGCCCAAAAGGGCAGCUCCCUCCCUCUCUCACGCUGCUGUCUCUCCUCUCUCUUCUAUUUUUUUAUUUCCUUUUUUUUUUCUGGCAGCAAGGCUGCCUUCUCUUUUCCACC
RNAcentral lists this long non-coding RNA (699 nucleotides) under Malus domestica (apple). Its description in RNAcentral is "long non-coding RNA (MDOM_LNC008244)". Lineage: Eukaryota; Viridiplantae; Streptophyta; Magnoliopsida; Rosales; Rosaceae. The record is from RNAcentral.